RNAcentral lists this long non-coding RNA (1846 nucleotides) under Homo sapiens (human). RNAcentral describes it as "non-protein coding lnc-WDR34-3:2". Lineage: Eukaryota; Metazoa; Chordata; Mammalia; Primates; Hominidae. The record is from RNAcentral.
AGACCUUGUCUCCAUUAAGAAAAAAAAGAGAGAGAGAGAGAGAGGGAUGUGUACCCAUCUUGAUCCUCUCAUAAGGCCAAGAUACCCUUUGAAGGCAAGGACCAGAGACAUGAUCCCUUCCCAACUCCCUAUGACACCUCCUGGAAUCUCUCUGCCUAUCAGGUCUUGGUGUUAGGACAGACGCUUCUGGAAUCCCUUCUUGGACUCCCAGGCUGGUGGUCAGGGAUUAUCACCCAGGCAUUCCUCUCCAGCAGGGCCCUGAGCACCCUGGGCUUUUGUACCCCCAGCAGGGGGCUGGUGCCAUGAUUGCUCAUUCACAUAUGAACACUCACCUAACACAGGCAGGAACGGCAAUGAGUGUGGUGUGGGAAAAAGGCACAAAUAGAAAGACGCCAACUUAGAAGCCAGCUGCCUGCCCCACCCCCAGUCCCUUCUGCUCCCUGCUGCUGCCUCAGUCACUCAGCAAGGCCAUCAUCAGUCAAAGAGCCCCACCUUGGGGCCUUCGCAUAAGAUGUUCCCACUGAGUAGCGUGCUUUCUUCCCUAGCACCCACCUGCCGAAUGCUUAACCAUCCUGCAGGACACCCCUUAAAUAUCACUUGUUCCAGAAACAGUUCCCUGCUACCCAGUCCCACACCACAAUCCACGGGGUCCUCCCUUUCCCUCAUAGUACAAAUCAUAAGCACAACCAGGUAAUUAACUGUAAUUAAUUGUGUGACUGUUGAACAGGCUCCAGGGCACAGGCACAGUGCCUGUGCCCACCUCCUACGUUGCUUUCCAUUAUUGCCCAGGGCUCAAGGCAGCCUGGUAGGGAGGAAUAGAUCAGCGGGGACAGAGCAGGAGCCACCUUACAUGGUGAAGUCCUUCUCCUCCUUCAUGCGCUCGAUGUUGUGCCUCAACACCGUGUUCUCGUGCUCAGUCUCAGCCAGUUCGUGGGCCACCUCCUCCAGCUCUUCCUUCCGUUCCUCCAGGAACCUUUUGGCCAUCUGGCGCUCACCUUUUUGCAUCUUGACCUGAGCAGGGGGACCCAGGCAGGGGCCACUGAAGGGAGGUCCUUCCUCUAUGCCACAUUGCUAGGCUCAAUGCUUUGGACCAAAAUAAGGCCCCGGCCGGGCGUGGUGGCUCACGCCUGUAAUCCCAGCACUUUGGGAGGCCAAGGUGGGUAGGUCACUUUUGGUCAGGAGUUCGAGACCAGCCUGACCAACAUGGUGAAACCCCAUCUCUACUGAAAAUACAAAAAUUAGCCAGAUGUGGUGGCACAUGCCUGUGAUCCCAGCUACUCUGGAAGCUGAAGCAAGAGAGUCGCCUGAACCCAGGAGCCAGAGGUUGCAGUGAGCCGAGAUCGUGCCCACUGCACUCCAGCCUGGGCGGACAAGAGUGAGACUCCAUCUCAAAAAAAAAAAAACAAAAACAAAAAAAUAAGGAGCCUUCCAAUUGAGAACUACACAGGCUGCAUGCCAGGGCCUUAUGGGUGCAAUCUCAGUUAACUGCCAUGAAGACUGACUCUCCUGGGAGAUGCUGAUUUUCUUUUUGUAGAUGAGGAAACUCAGUACAGAGAGCCCCAGUGACUUGUGGGUUGGGAACGAAGCCAGGUUGCAAACCGUGGUUUGGCUGGCACACCAUAGGAGGAGAGAUGUCACAAAAAGGCUCUUGCACUUUGAGUUAUAGGGGAAGAAGGGCUUUUUUUUUUUUUCUUUUGAAACAGGGUCUCACUCUGUCAUCCAGGCUGGAGUGCAGCGGUACGAUCUCAGCUCACUGCAACCUCUGCCUCCUGGGUUCAAGUGAUUCUUCUGCCUCAGCCUCCCAAGUAGCCGGGAUUACAGGCGUGUGCCUGGCAAAUUUUUGUAU